ACCAGACUCCGCUCCUUCGCGACCUCACGAGGUGAGAGCGCGGGCCAGGGCAACGUAGGGGGCCUGAUGCUGAGCCCUCUGAGCUCCGGUACGGCCGUGACCUUAGCCGAGUCGAGGUGAUGUUCCCGCCAGUGGGACGGCGAGCAGACGUCCUUCUUAUCUCAAGGGGCUCCAGUUGUGAUGGCCCCGUGUGGUGAAGGGCACAAGAAAUGGUCAGGGGUGCUCUCCUGUGCCCACUCCCACCCCCUGCGCAGUAGAAGGGGCUACAGGUCAGGGUGCGGGUGAGCUAGGGGCACACUGAAAGGUGAAGUCGACAGACCAUUACAUUCUUUUUCUUCAAGGUCCAUAGCAAGAGGCAGGGAGCAUCAGGCCUUUGGGCCUCCCUCCUCUCGGUAUCUGGGAGCCCAGAGGCCCAGAGGAACGGACUGUGGAUUCUAGGAACUUCUGCAUCAUGCAGCUAUCUCCCCGGGAUACUCUUGGCCAAGCAGCAGUCAGAAUAACAUGGUGGACAUCACCUGACACUUCGGCAUCAUCCCUGAUUCAUUUCUGCUGGACCAGAUGACUUCCCCCACAUCAUUCUAAGAGCCCAUGCAUUUUAAUGGAAGUCAGCAAACUGUACCUUGAGACAAAAGCCAGAAACAUAGAAUGGAAACAGAAGUGUUCAUGGGAACUAAGGACAGCUCCUAAUCCUCAGGAAGUGAUAAACGGACCUGAAGGAGGCAUGGAUCUCAAAGAUCUGCAAAACCUCUCUGGGGCUUUUUAGUAUAAAGGACUCCACACUGAUUUUCAAGCUUACCUUGGUAAUAAUCUGGUUGCAUUUAAUAGUUCUCAUUUGGGGAAUUGUGUGUGAA
Mirounga angustirostris (Northern elephant seal) is the source of this 851-nucleotide long non-coding RNA. RefSeq lists it as uncharacterized. The transcript is spliced from 4 exons. The record is from RefSeq and is a predicted model, not a curated record. Lineage: Eukaryota; Metazoa; Chordata; Mammalia; Carnivora; Phocidae.